UUUUCCUAUUUUAAUUUUUUGUUUUGAAAGUAUGGUAAAUACUGGUAAAAUGUACCAACAAUCACAUUUAAAAAUGUACACUUUUAGAUAUACCAUAAAAAUAACAGGUAGCCCAUCUGAAUUAUAGGCCUAUAACAUUUAGUCUAUCCAUCUCAUAGUAGCCUACCAAAACAAUUUUAACAGUAGAAGUGAAAUCUUAUUGUAGUCUUCAAAUGGCGCCACCUAUUAUAGUGGUUGUAUUACUGACAAGUCAAAGUAUAGACCCUGAGUAGGAUAAGAAGACCGCGUUUUUUCAGAUGUAUUUCCAAUAAAAAAAAAACAUUGUUUUAUAUUCGGGUCAAUACGGUAUUACACAACCAGCAUCAUGGUUCAGUGUCUCCAUGAGUUCUGAGUAUUUGAGUUCUGAGUAUUAGUUCUUAGCAGGAGUUCUUAGUAACCUCUCAGUAUCUUCAGCACCUUACUAUGAUGUGAGAAAUGGAAAAGAACAUGAUAAAGAUGAUGUGUGUGUUUGUUCCAACAGGAUAUGGAAGGAUUAUUGAGUGAGUCAGAGUGUAAUCCUGAUAGUGUGUGUGUGUGUGUGUGUAAGCCUCUGUUGAUUCACAUGGGGACAUUAUGCUUCUGUUAUUAUGCACACGUGAAGCUUAUUAGCAUGGUCUGACACUCUGAAACCAAUGAACAAUACGCAUACACACACACACACACACUUCCUUCAGCUCAGAGACACUACCGAAACUACAGAAUGUGUAGUCUGGAUGAGGUUCCAUUUAAAGUUGCUCUGGACUCUGUGGAGAUACAGUUGGGUCAGAAAGAGCCGGUCACAGCUCCUGAACUUACGAUCCCAGACUGUGCUCAAAUACUGCGUGAUACAAAGGUCAGAAUAGUUUGCUUAUAUUCAUCAUAUACAUUUGAAAUUUUAUGUUAAAUGCAUCUUUAUAUUUAACAGUGUUCAUAUGUUGUCCUGUUUGACAGUAUUCAUUCACUCUGGAGAAAAAGAUCCUGGCUGCAUGGGAAGAACAGCAGUGGAAGAACAGGAAAGCCAAAAAAACACCCCAGAGUGUGUGUCCCA
Molecule: long non-coding RNA, 1066 nt
Organism: Cyprinus carpio (common carp)
Lineage: Eukaryota; Metazoa; Chordata; Actinopteri; Cypriniformes; Cyprinidae
Source: Ensembl